Molecule: long non-coding RNA, 488 nt
Organism: Mauremys reevesii (Reeves's turtle)
Lineage: Eukaryota; Metazoa; Chordata; Testudines; Geoemydidae
Exons: 3
Source: RefSeq, a predicted model, not a curated record
UCCAUUGGUGGAUGGCUAAGCAGAACUAGGUGCCUCUCUGCAGUCAGUCUAUCUCCAAGAGAGGGACAGGGCCUAGCAACCACCCUGGUAGUUGGCGUCUCCCAUUGGCUAGCUUAGGUGUCUAGCAUUGUUAGGCAUCUAUCUCUCCCCAUUCAUCAUACAGAGAGCCUAGACAUGGAACAUGGCUCUGUGGAUGGCAGUGUUGUUCCUGUGAUUUUCUAGGCACCCAGAAGUGCUCACAUAUGCUGAAAUGUCAUUGCUUCAUGUUACUGGGAACGAAAAGCUCUCCAUUACCUUAAGGAGCAGGAUGGAUGUAUUCCCCCCAUGUCUCCACUGGAGGCAGGGACUCUUCUUCCUGCAACAACCCUUGGAUAUCUCAAAUGGAGGAGAUGUGGCAUCAUGUGUAUGAAGAGACUCUACUACAGCUGGGAUGGGCUGGCAGGUGCCAAUAAGGGUUCUAUAAAAUGAUUAAAAAUAGGCAUGCAUCA